Molecule: ribosomal RNA, 253 nt
Filed under: uncultured bacterium
Lineage: Bacteria
Description: partial 16S ribosomal RNA
Rfam family: Bacterial small subunit ribosomal RNA
Source: RNAcentral
UACAGAGGGUGCAAACGUUGCUCGGAAUCACUGGGCGUAAAGCGCACGUAGGCGGCUUUCUAAGUCAGGGGUGAAAUCCUGGAGCUCAACUCCAGAACUGCCUUUGAUACUGGAGAGCUUGAGUCCGGGAGAGGUGAGUGGAACUCCGAGUGUAGAGGUGAAAUUCGUAGAUAUUCGGAAGAACACCAGUGGCGAAGGCGGCUCACUGGCCCGGUACUGACGCUGAGGUGCGAAAGCGUGGGGAGCAAACAGG